AAAAACAUCGCCUCUUGCCAAACCAAAAAUAUAAGAGGUCCCGCCUGCCCUGUGACUAUAUGUUUAACGGCCGCGGUAUUUUGACCGUGCGAAGGUAGCGCAAUCACUUGUCUCUUAAAUGGAGACCUGUAUGAAUGGCAUAACGAGGGCUUGACUGUCUCCUCUUUCAAGUCAAUGAAAUUGAUCUCCCCGUGCAGAAGCGGGGAUGUAACCAUAAGACGAGAAGACCCUAUGGAGCUUUAGACACUAAAGCAGAUCAUAAUUUACCACCUAGCCAAAAGGAAAAAAAUUAGAUGAAUCCUGCCCUAAUGUCUUUGGUUGGGGCGACCGCGGAGAAACAAAAAACCCCCGCAUGGACCAAAUGUACAACAUUUACAACCGAGAGCUACAGCUCUAACUAACAGAACUUCUGACCAACUAGAUCCGGCAAUGCCGAUCAAUGAACCGAGUUACCCUAGGGAUAACAGCGCAAUCUCCUCUUAGAGUCCAUAUCGACGAGGGGGUUUACGACCUCGAUGUUGGAUCAGGACAUCCUAAUGGUGCAGCCGCUAUUAAGGGUUCGUUUGUUCAACGAUUAAAGUCCUACGUGAUCUGAGUUUCAAACCAGGA
Molecule: ribosomal RNA, 609 nt
Filed under: Cephalopholis pachycentron
Lineage: Eukaryota; Metazoa; Chordata; Actinopteri; Perciformes; Serranidae
Description: partial 16S ribosomal RNA
Rfam family: Bacterial large subunit ribosomal RNA
Source: RNAcentral